AGUGAACGCUGGCGGUAGGCCUAACACAUGCAAGUCGAACGGCAGCACAGGAGAGCUUGCUCUCUGGGUGGCGAGUGGCGGACGGGUGAGGAAUACAUCGGAAUCUACUUUUUCGUGGGGGAUAACGUAGGGAAACUUACGCUAAUACCGCAUACGACCUACGGGUGAAAGCAGGGGAUCUUCGGACCUUGCGCGAUUGAAUGAGCCGAUGUCGGAUUAGAUAGUUGGCGGGGUAAAGGCCCACCAAGGCGACGAUCCGUAGCUGGUCUGAGAGGAUGAUCAGCCACACUGGAACUGAGACACGGUCCAGACUCCUACGGGAGGCAGCAGUGGGGAAUAUUGGACAAGGGGCGCAAGCCUGAUCCAGCCAUACCGCGUGGGUGAAGAAGGCCUUCGGGUUGUAAAGCCCUUUUGUUGGGAAAGAAAUCCAGCUGGUUAAUACCCGGUUGGGAUGACGGUACCCAAAGAAUAAGCACCGGCUAACUUCGUGCCAGCAGCCGCCGUAA
Molecule: ribosomal RNA, 506 nt
Filed under: uncultured bacterium
Lineage: Bacteria
Description: partial 16S ribosomal RNA
Rfam family: Bacterial small subunit ribosomal RNA
Source: RNAcentral